This 402-nucleotide ribosomal RNA is filed under the name fungal sp. E15407D. RNAcentral's name for it is "eukaryotic LSU rRNA". The stretch from base 38 to 191 matches the Rfam family "5.8S ribosomal RNA". The record is from RNAcentral. Lineage: Eukaryota; Fungi.
UAGUGGAACUUCUGAGUAUAAAAAACAAAUAAAUCAAAACUUUCAACAACGGAUCUCUUGGUUCUGGCAUCGAUGAAGAACGCAGCAAAAUGCGAUAAGUAAUGUGAAUUGCAGAAUUCAGUGAAUCAUCGAAUCUUUGAACGCACAUUGCGCCCGCCAGUAUUCUGGCGGGCAUGCCUGUUCGAGCGUCAUUUCAACCCUCAAGCCCAGCUUGGUGUUGGGAGCUGCAGUCCUGCUGCACUCCCCAAAUACAUUGGCGGUCACGUCGAGCUUCCAUAGCGUAGUAAUUUACACAUCGUUACUGGUAAUCGUCGCGGCCACGCCGUUAAACCCCAACUUCUGAAUGUUGACCUCGGAUCAGGUAGGAAUACCCGCUGAACUUAAGCAUAUCAAUAAGCGGAG